CCUACGGGAUGCUGCAGUGGGGAAUAUUGCACAAUGGGGGAAACCCUGAUGCAGCGACGCCGCGUGUGUGAAGAAGUCUUUCGGUAUGUAAAGCACUAUCAGCAGGGAAGAAAAUGACGGUACCUAAUUAAGAAGCCCCGGAGAACUACGUGCCAGCAGCCGCGGUAAGACGUAGGGGGCAAGCGUUAUGCGGAUUGACUGGGUGGAAAGGGAGCGUAGACGGCAGCACAAGUCUGUAGUGAAAUGCCGGGGCUUAACCCCGGAACUGCUUUGGAUACUGUGCAGCUAGAGUGCAGGAGAGGUAAGUGGAAUUCCUAGUGUAGCGGUGAAAUGCGUAGAGAUUAGGAGGAAGACCAGUGGCGAAGGCGGCCUACUGGACUGUAACUGACGUUGAGGCUCGAAAGCGUGGGGAGCAAACAGGAUUAGAUACCCGUGUAGUC
Molecule: ribosomal RNA, 440 nt
Filed under: uncultured bacterium
Lineage: Bacteria
Description: partial 16S ribosomal RNA
Rfam family: Bacterial small subunit ribosomal RNA
Source: RNAcentral